RNAcentral lists this long non-coding RNA (869 nucleotides) under Phasianus colchicus (ring-necked pheasant). Its description in RNAcentral is "lncRNA (ENSPCLG00000001970.1)". Lineage: Eukaryota; Metazoa; Chordata; Aves; Galliformes; Phasianidae. The record is from RNAcentral.
CUCCAAUGGGUCUGGGAACAAGUAUUAGGAGGAAAAAGUUCACUGCAAACAGAUCCAAUGUGCCCUGGAUGUGAAUCUAAUGGUGCAUAAAGGAAACUUAGAGGAAGCACAAGAGGAGCGCAAGUCUUAUGGGGAAGCAGCUGAGGGAACUGGGAUUGUUCAGUCUGAAGAAGAGGAGCCUCAGGAAACCUACAGCUUCCGGCUCUCUACAGCUGCCUGAAAGGGGGAUGUGGUGACAUGAAGGUUGGCUUCUUCUCCCAGGUAACAGAAAUAUGAUGAAAGAUAAUGACUGAAUUUUGCUAGUGGAGGUUCAGGUUAGAUAUUAGGAAAACUUUUGUUUCAGAAAGAGUGGUGAGGUAUAGGAACAGGCUGCCCAGGGAAGUGGUGGAGCCUCCAUUCUUGGAGGUGUUGAAGAAACGUGUAAUGUGGCAUUGAGGGACAUGGUCUGUGAGCAUGGUGGGGAUGGGUUGACAAUUAGAACAGACAAUCUUAAAGACCUUCUUCAACCUUAAUGAUUUUAUAAUUCUGUGAUGCAGAGUACAAUCUAAUUUUCCAUGUAUGAUAUGGGGAUAAUUAAUAACCUUAGCUGGAAAGAUGACUGGCUUGCUUCCUUCUUGCAUCCCUGUUGUGUACAUCACAAACAAGUGAUCUAGAAACAAAUACUGGAUUCCUUAAAUAUAGAGCAUGCUCUUAGCUUAAAAAGAUGCAGAAGCAUAUUUUGACCUGUUUCUAUCUCUGCGUGUCACCAUUCUUGUUUUGAUAGAAAUGUCUUUAGUGACACAGAAUAUGUUUACCCUAGAUGAGCUCAUAUACUCAUUUCCCAAAGGAAAGAAAGAAGUACAAGGGCCAGUUUGUUUUGCCUGCAGAUC